AUGUUAGAAUUAAGGGUGCUUUUAUUGUGGAAUACUUGCCACAGAAGGAUCAAGAGUUUUAUAACGAGUACUUGUGUGUGUCUGUCCCUAUCUAGUCCGAACAAUGAAUGCAAAUUUCAAGUGAACACAGGCGCACGUGUGCAAUCCACUCAAGUUGCAGGUCUACUGAAGAAAACAAUCAUCAGGUCCUUGGUUCCAUCCCUCACCCUCUGCCACUGACAGUUACAUCAAAGUGCUCCAUUCCUGACCUUCCAAUGCACAGAAAGCUUAUGCAAUAAUAUUUAUUAAUUGAAAGAAUGGCUUUAGAGCUUUAAGUCACAGGAAGAUUUCCCAAAGUUCAAGAAAUAGAAGAGUUUCUCCACGCUCUCUUUAAAUAUUAAAGAUAUUGACAUCUCUGAUCAAGGGGCAGUGGGUAAAGCUCUGGAUGUGCAAACCUGGCCUCUGAGUUCAGUUCCUGGAACCUGUGUCGAAGGGAAAGAGGAGGAUUUACAUCAGAAAGUUGUCCUCUGAGCUUCACAUGCAUGCUAUGAUAUGCACGAUAUGCAUGGCCCCCUCCUCUGACAUUGUGCAUGCACACACACACACACACACACACACACACACACACCCCUAAGAAAUAAGAAAAAUUAAGAACUGUGAUGCAUUUGGGAUUUCUUCUGGAGUAUACUUAUAUCAUUUACUAAGAUGUCCACACGUCACUCCACAGAUCUGAGAUACUAUCUUUUAAUGAAACCCGUGACCAGAUUUACUGGGUCAUUUUCCAGAUUUUAUUUUCUGUUAAUGUGACAAAAGCUAAAUCUUAGUUAUUGAGGCUUAUUGGGUUGGAUUCUGACAGACCAUUUUCUUUACCCUGGCUUUUAUUUUACUAUUAUUUUUAAAAGAUUUUGUUUAUGUUGGUUUAUUUUCCAACUAAACAUUAUAAUCAAGUCAAGAUAAAAUAAUUGCCUGAUUUUUUUUUAUUGAGGUUGGCUUACACUAUUAAAAAUGUCUUAUUAAAAACUGACCUUCUUUUCAUCAUGGCCACAGUGAUUCUAAACUAGAGGGUGGCCAUAUUUCAUUAGUGACUUGGUUGUGUGUAUCUGGUGUGUUUCUGUGUAUCUGGUGUGUUUGUGUGUAUGUGAGUGUGUGUGGUAUAGUGUGUAUGUGCAUCUAGUGUAUGUGUGUGUGUGUGUGUGUGUGUAUGUGUGGGUGGGUGGUAUAAUGUGUGUGUGUGCAUCUCUCUCUCUCUCUCUCUCUCUCUCUCUCUCUCUCUCUCUCUCUCACACACACACACACACACACACACACACACCCAUGCAGGUUGAAGUCCCAGGCUGAUGUUGGAUGUCUUCUCACCCUUUCCACCUUAUUUCUCCUGAGACAGGGUGUAUCACUGAACUAGUAAGUUACUCACUUUUUGACCAGAGUGGCUUUCCAGCCAGUACGAACUCGUCCUGUCUCUCUCUCUCCAGAUUAAGUAUAGGCAUGUGCUGUCAAACCCAACUUAUUACAUGGGUGUUAUGAUUCCAGACUCAGGUCCUCAUGUUUUUACAGCAAGCACUUUACCCAAUGAGCCAUCUCCACAGCUCAAUACAUAUGAAAAAAAAAGCCCUAACUAUUAAACAUGUGGUUUACAGACAGAUAAAAUAAAUUUAUUCCAAUCUCUCUUCCCA
Molecule: long non-coding RNA, 1652 nt
Organism: Mus spicilegus (steppe mouse)
Lineage: Eukaryota; Metazoa; Chordata; Mammalia; Rodentia; Muridae
Source: Ensembl